AGAGUUUGAUCCUGGCUCAGAGCGAACGCUGGCGGCAGGCCUAACACAUGCAAGUCGAGCGCCGUAGCAAUACGGAGCGGCAGACGGGAGAGUAACACGUGGGAACGUACCCUUCAGUACGGAACAACCAAGGGAAACUUUGGCUAAUACCGUAUACGUCCGUAAGGAGAAAGAUUUAUCGCUGAAGGAUCGGCCCGCGUCUGAUUAGCUAGUUGGUGAGGUAACGGCUCACCAAGGCUACGAUCAGUAGCUGGUCUGAGAGGAUGAUCAGCCUCACUGGGACUGAGACACGGCCCAGACUCCUACGGGAGGCAGCAGUGGGGAAUAUUGGACAAUGGGCGCAAGCCUGAUCCAGCCAUGCCGCGUGAGUGAUGAAGGCCCUAGGGUUGUAAAGCUCUUUCGGCGGGGACGAUAAUGACGGUACCCGCAGAAGAAGCCCCGGCUAACUUCGUGCCAGCAGCCGCGGUAAUACGAAGGGGGCUAGCGUUGUUCGGAAUCACUGGGCGUAAAGGGCGCGUAGGCGGCCGUUCAAGUCGGGGGUGAAAGCCUGUGGCUCAACCACAGAAUUGCCUUCGAUACUGUACGGCUCGAGACCGGAAGAGGUAAGUGGAACUGCGAGUGUAGAGGUGAAAUUCGUAGAUAUUCGCAAGAACACCAGUGGCGAAGGCGGCUUACUGGUCCGGUUCUGACGCUGAGGCGCGAAAGCGUGGGGAGCAAACAGGAUUAGAUACCC
RNAcentral lists this ribosomal RNA (733 nucleotides) under uncultured soil bacterium. RNAcentral's name for it is "bacterial SSU rRNA". It matches the Rfam family "Bacterial small subunit ribosomal RNA", at positions 8 to 787 of the family's 1533-position model. The record is from RNAcentral.